UGUAUGUCAUUGUGUAUAUACAAUGACAAACUAACACACAGUGUAAGACAAUUAGACAACAGCAGAAAUAGUACGCUGAGAUUUGCAAAGUUAGUGAUGAAUUCAGUUAGCCACAACCUAAAAUGAAAGAUUGAUCUUAUUUUAAAACAGGAAUACAGCACACAGCUCUGUGCUGAAUCCAUUCAGAUUGUUGAAGAUGGUAUGGUUAGCUUGGUGUGAUUAAAAAAAAUGUGGCAAAUAAAUGUAUCUUUUCCAUUAGCAGGAUGAACAAGAAAGAAAUGCCAGAAAAGAAAACGUUAUGGAUUCCAACCCAGAAAGUGAAGGGCUGAGAGAACACCCCUCAACGGAAUGAGCAAUCUAAUCCAGACCAGGUCUGAGAGCUUCAGACUCUUUUAAACCUCAGUGGAGAGAGACUUCACCAUAGCCCAUCUUCACCACCAGGCCAGCAGGAGCUCUUCCCUGGGUGUGGUGUGUUCGUGUCAUCGUUCUGCCUUGCUGCCAUGAACCACACAUCUAAACCACAUCGCAUGCAUCAGUUUCAUGCACUGUCCAAUCAUGUCCUCACUGUUGGAGUAUCGAAAUCCCUUUUGGUCUUCCUGGAAAUAAUCCCUCCGGAAAAGAAGGAAAGCGGAUCCGUCGACGCAAUCCUAACUUGUGUCCUGAGAUGUGCCACUCCACCUGGUUGGGAAAAAUUGUGGAGGUCAAGCUCAAGAAAGCGUUUGUCAGCAAAUGUACAGCCAGAGCAGGUUCUAAGCAGUAGGCCACUGCUAUGAUCUACGUAUGUGGACUGGUUACUCUUUUAUCCUUUAUUUUUUGUUUUUAAUUUUCGUGAACCACGAGUUUUAAUACAAUUCCUGCCAAGUGUGUUCUAGGAUUUGGAAGCAUGUAAGUUCUGUUGUUUCAAAGCCAAGUGAGAUUCUUCCUUGUACCUCAGCAGUGCUGUCAGUGUGUUCAUUGUUUAGAAUCUAGAAGUAUUCAUUAUCACCACGUCGGCCAGAUUGAGUACGCCACAGUUCAUGUACUUAAUGCAAUUACAUAAAAAAAA
Molecule: long non-coding RNA, 1045 nt
Organism: Oryzias melastigma (Indian medaka)
Lineage: Eukaryota; Metazoa; Chordata; Actinopteri; Beloniformes; Adrianichthyidae
Exons: 3
Source: RefSeq, a predicted model, not a curated record